Molecule: ribosomal RNA, 540 nt
Filed under: uncultured Geobacteraceae bacterium
Lineage: Bacteria; Pseudomonadati; Thermodesulfobacteriota; Desulfuromonadia; Geobacterales; Geobacteraceae
Description: bacterial SSU rRNA
Rfam family: Bacterial small subunit ribosomal RNA
Source: RNAcentral
GAGUUUGAUCCUGGCUCAGAACGAACGCCGGCGGCGUGCCUAACACAUGCAAGUCGAACGGGGAUGGGGAGCUUGCUUCCUAUUCUAGUGGCGCACGGGUGAGUAACGCGUAGAUAAUCUGUCUGAUGAUCUGGGAUAACACUUCGAAAGGGGUGCUAAUACCGGAUAAGCCCACGGAGUCUUUGGACUUUGCGGGAAAAGGGGGGGACCUUCGGGCCUUCUGUCAUCARAUGAGUCUGCGUACCAUUAGCUAGUUGGUAGGGUAAUGGCCUACCAAGGCUACGAUGGUUAGCUGGUCUGARAGGAUGAUCAGCCACACUGGAACUGAGACACGGUCCAGACUCCUACGGGAGGCAGCAGUGGGGAAUUUUGCGCAAUGGGCGAAAGCCUGACGCAGCAACGCCGCGUGAGUGAUGAAGGCUUUCGGGUCGUAAAGCUCUGUCAAGGGGAAAGAAAUGUACGAGGGCUAAUAUCCUUUGUACUCGACGGUACCCCUAAAGGAAGCACCGGCUAACUCCGUGCCAGCAGCCGCGGUAAUAC